RNAcentral lists this ribosomal RNA (159 nucleotides) under Listeria monocytogenes. Its description in RNAcentral is "partial 23S ribosomal RNA". It matches the Rfam family "Bacterial large subunit ribosomal RNA", at positions 2769 to 2925 of the family's 2925-position model. Lineage: Bacteria; Bacillati; Bacillota; Bacilli; Caryophanales; Listeriaceae. The record is from RNAcentral.
CGCUGAAAGCAUCUAAGCGUGAAGCCCCCCUCAAGAUGAGAUUUCCCAUUUCUUCGGAAAGUAAGAUCCCUGAAAGAUGAUCAGGUAGAUAGGUUUGGAGUGGAAGUGUAGCGAUACAUGGAGCGGACAAAUACUAAUCGAUCGAGGACUUAACCAAAA